This 253-nucleotide ribosomal RNA is filed under the name uncultured bacterium. RNAcentral describes it as "partial 16S ribosomal RNA". It matches the Rfam family "Bacterial small subunit ribosomal RNA", at positions 524 to 776 of the family's 1533-position model. The record is from RNAcentral.
UACAGAGGGUGCAAGCGUUAAUCGGAUUUACUGGGCGUAAAGCGCGCGUAGGCGGCUAAUUAAGUCAAAUGUGAAAUCCCCGAGCUUAACUUGGGAAUUGCAUUCGAUACUGGUUAGCUAGAGUGUGGGAGAGGAUGGUAGAAUUCCAGGUGUAGCGGUGAAAUGCGUAGAGAUCUGGAGGAAUACCGAUGGCGAAGGCAGCCAUCUGGCCUAACACUGACGCUCAUGCACGAAAGCGUGGGGAGCAAACAGG